This 253-nucleotide ribosomal RNA is filed under the name uncultured bacterium. Its description in RNAcentral is "partial 16S ribosomal RNA". It matches the Rfam family "Bacterial small subunit ribosomal RNA", at positions 524 to 776 of the family's 1533-position model. The record is from RNAcentral.
UACGUAGGGUGCGAGCGUUGUCCGGAAUUAUUGGGCGUAAAGGACUCGUAGGCGGUCUGUCACGUCGGGAGUGAAAACACGGGGCUUAACCCCGUGCCUGCUUCCGAUACGGGCAGACUAGAGGUAUGCAGGGGAGAACGGAAUUCCUGGUGUAGCGGUGAAAUGCGCAGAUAUCAGGAGGAACACCGGUGGCGAAGGCGGUUCUCUGGGCAUUACCUGACGCUGAGGAGCGAAAGUGUGGGGAGCGAACAGG